This 252-nucleotide ribosomal RNA is filed under the name uncultured bacterium. RNAcentral's name for it is "partial 16S ribosomal RNA". It matches the Rfam family "Bacterial small subunit ribosomal RNA", at positions 524 to 776 of the family's 1533-position model. The record is from RNAcentral.
UACGUAGGUCCCGAGCGUUGUCCGGAUUUAUUGGGCGUAAAGCGAGCGCAGGUGGUUUAUUAAGUCUGGUGUAAAAGGCAGUGGCUCAACCAUUGUAUGCAUUGGAAACUGGUUGACUUGAGUGCAGGAGAGGAGAGUGGAAUUCCAUGUGUAGCGGUGAAAUGCGUAGAUAUAUGGAGGAACACCGGUGGCGAAAGCGGCUCUCUGGUCUGUAACUGACGCUGAGGUCCGAAAGCGUGGGUAGCAAACAGG